RNAcentral lists this ribosomal RNA (497 nucleotides) under uncultured bacterium. RNAcentral's name for it is "partial 16S ribosomal RNA". It matches the Rfam family "Bacterial small subunit ribosomal RNA", at positions 28 to 507 of the family's 1533-position model. The record is from RNAcentral.
GAUGAACGCUGGCGGCGUGCCUAAUACAUGCAAGUCGAGCGAACAGACGAGGAGCUUGCUCCUUUGACGUUAGCGGCGGACGGGUGAGUAACACGUAGGUAAUCUACCUAUAAGACUGGGAUAACUUCGGGAAACCGGAGCUAAUACCGGAUAAUAUUUCGAACCGCAUGGUUCGAUAGUGAAAGAUGGCUUUGCUAUCACUUAUAGAUGGACCUGCGCCGUAUUAGCUAGUUGGUAAGGUAACGGCUUACCAAGGCAACGAUACGUAGCCGACCUGAGAGGGUGAUCGGCCACACUGGAACUGAGACACGGUCCAGACUCCUACGGGAGGCAGCAGUAGGGAAUCUUCCGCAAUGGGCGAAAGCCUGACGGAGCAACGCCGCGUGAGUGAUGAAGGUCUUCGGAUCGUAAAACUCUGUUAUUAGGGAAGAACAAACGUGUAAGUAACUGUGCACGUCUUGACGGUACCUAAUCAGAAAGCCACGGCUAACUACGUG